UUACAAUCUCUAUGGUGCACGAGUUUGUAAAAUAUGCCUCGAAAGGGUUGAGAUCCCUAACAAAAUGAGGCUAUCGAAAGGGCCAAUGAAAUGACUGAAAGCUGCAUAGUUACUUCAGUGUGCAACUUACUGUAUAGGAACCAUCUGAGAAUUUCUGAAGAAUAAUGACGAGGUUCCUCCCUGUGUCAAUCUAUUUUUCUUAUUUAAGCCCUACUUUUGUACAGGCUGGUAUAUUAAACCUAUCUACUAACUUAGUGAGAUUUUUCACGAACUUGAGAUAAAUUUGAAAUUCGCAAAAGAUGGUGAAUCGUUCUACGGGCAGGUUUAAGCCUAUUUGCUUUUUCGAACCAUGUCAAGUAUUGAAGCUUCUAAUUCACCCUGUUUAGGGAGAGUACAGGAUUUCUCUCAUUACUCAGCACGGGGUUCCAGAAGAACGAUUGUCCUGUCACCGGAAGCUUCAAUAGGCUGUCUGGAUAACUGCCGGAUUGAGUCGAUUAUUUUAGGGUGUGGAAGCAGUUUUUCGGUUCUGCCACAUUCUUUUCCCCCUCCAAAAGUAACCCGCCUCUUGCGACCCGAUAAAGCCUUGCUCGGCCACUUUUUUGUUUGAGUUGGCUUGCUAACCUCCCACAGUUUAAAAACACUUUUUUUUUUUGUCGUUUUGAUCGUUAGUUUAAUAUCCCCAGUUUCAAGUCAACCACGUGCUAAUAAAAUUAGAAUCUAUAGAUGUACGUUUGAUAUGAAAUUCAAUGCUGAUGUGCCAAGAGGAUAUAAGAUUCUUUCACUACCCUUUGAAAAUCUAACAAUUGUAAAACGCAAGACAAAUUGCAAAAAGCAGGAAAGGCAACAAAGAGACAAAAGAACAGUCAAUACAGUGUGGAGCUGGAAGAACACAGCAGGGUUAGAUAAUACAAAAUUGGAGGCAGCAGAAUCUAACUGGUGGGAGACAGGCACCUGCAGCAUGUCAUCCUGGCAGAAAGAAGAGUUCAUCAUCACUGGAACAGCCAUGUCUGAGACUAUAAACAGUUGCAGAACUGGAAGGAUCAAAGAUGACAGUUACUCAUAACUAAUCCUCCUGGAGCCAGAUUGCCUCACUCGCUUGAAUAAUGAAAUUAACAUAGAUAGGAGGAGAUAAGUAGCAACAUUGAGUACAAUAUCAAUACUUUGGAAAACGUUUGACUUUUGAUGUGGUUUUAGGCAUGAUAUUCCUGCAUAUGAAUUUUGUCUUUUUGCGGUAAAUAUGUACUGAAGCUACAUAAGUUAGUGAAAUGGUGAAUAUGAUAGUUGCUGUGGAGUGUAGAGCAUAAACUGAGCAAACAAUUAACUGAUCGUAAUCUACAACAUAAAAUCCAAUAAAUUCAUGCCAGCAUGGAACCAAACAGCAAUUAAUUA
This is a long non-coding RNA of Rhincodon typus (whale shark), 1389 nucleotides long. RefSeq lists it as uncharacterized. NCBI's taxonomy places the organism in Eukaryota, Metazoa, Chordata, Chondrichthyes, Orectolobiformes, Rhincodontidae. The record is from RefSeq and is a predicted model, not a curated record. The transcript has 3 exons.